UAUUUUUUUAAUUUUUUAAAGAUUUGGAGGAUGUUUAUGUGAAUGUUCCAAAGACACCUGAUGGUUACCAGUGAAGGUCCAUGUUUUCAGAUGAACAAGAAGAACCUAGAACCUUGUAAUAUAGUAAAUAACUCCUAGAACUGAAUUAAAUCGUGAGGGCAACCUAAGUCAGUCUCCUUGACAUCAUUUCAUCGACACUUCUUGCAAUCACUACAGAUUUGAACUAAAUGCCUGAUACCACCAUAACAUUAUUGAUCUCGGUUAUAUGCUGUAACUACAUUGUUUUUGUAUUCACAGCAUCAUAAAAUUCUUGAUUUAUUUUAAACUUUCAUGAAUGUCUAUCUAUAAUUAAACAUUUGCACCAAUGAAGUAAACUCAGUUAAAUUUCUGUAUUUCAUUCCUCUUAUACGAGUCAUCAUCUGUUCAACAUAAUAUGGAGAUUUAACAACAUGGCUAUGAAUAUCAUUGAUUUUUCGAAUAUAUUUUGGAAUAAUCCCUUAAAAAAUUUUAAGAAUUUGAAUUCAUCCCAAUUUUCUACAAAUGAGCAGCAAUUAUGAUUGUGUUUUUGUUCAUGUUAAACAUAUUCUUGAAACUAUUUAUAACUUCAUGAUCAAAGUUUCUGAUAUUCAUUUUACAGAAGUUCUUUAUAUACUUUCUACUAUUUUACUUCAUUAGUAGACUAUUUUACUUUCUAAGAUACAAGAACUUCACUACUUUACUAACUUUUUUCUAAGAUACAAGAACAUUCAAAUCUAAAUUCUAAAACACAUAUUUGUAAAAGAAAUCAAACUUGCAGCUUGUACAUAAGUAAAUGCAUGUGCAAAUAUUUAUCCAGAUUCAGCAGACUCUCUCUUAUAUCUUACUACAGAAUGAAUAAAUGAAUUGAUAUUUAAA
Octopus sinensis (East Asian common octopus) is the source of this 894-nucleotide long non-coding RNA. RefSeq lists it as uncharacterized. The record is from RefSeq and is a predicted model, not a curated record. The transcript is spliced from 2 exons. Lineage: Eukaryota; Metazoa; Mollusca; Cephalopoda; Octopoda; Octopodidae.